GCGCCCGUAGCUCAACUGGACAGAGCGGCGGACUACGGAUCCGCAGGUUGGGGGUUCGACUCCUCUCGGGCGCGCCA
This 77-nucleotide transfer RNA is filed under the name Synergistales bacterium. RNAcentral's name for it is "tRNA-Arg". It matches the Rfam family "tRNA". From Rfam's summary of the family: Transfer RNA (tRNA) molecules are approximately 80 nucleotides in length. Lineage: Bacteria; Thermotogati; Synergistota; Synergistia; Synergistales. The record is from RNAcentral. RNAcentral also lists the same sequence under 1 other name.